Molecule: ribosomal RNA, 2694 nt
Filed under: Planctomycetes bacterium SM23_65
Lineage: Bacteria; Pseudomonadati; Planctomycetota
Description: bacterial LSU rRNA
Rfam family: Bacterial large subunit ribosomal RNA
Source: RNAcentral
UUGUGGUCAAGCUACUAAGGGUGCAUGGUGGAUGUCUUGGCACCAAGAGCCGAUGAAGGGCGUAGCAGGCUGCGAAACGCCCCGGGGAGCUGCCUAGCGAGCGUUGAUCCGGGGGUACCCGAAUGGGAGAUCCCGACGGGAGUAGUGUCCCGUCAUCCGCGACUGAAUGCAUAGGUCGCGGAGGGUAACGGAGCGAACUGAAACAUCUAAGUAGCUCCAGGAAAGGAAAGCAAGUGCGACUUCCCCAGUAGCGGCGAGCGAAAAGGAACAAGCCCAAACCGGGCGUGUGUAAGCUCGUGUGCGUUGCACGUUCGGGGUCGUGGGAGCUUCCACGCGCGGACACGACCGUGCGAUGGAGUUACAAAGGUCAAGACGAGAAGAACGACGCGGACAACGUCGACCAUAGAGGGUGACAGUCCCGUAUUCGUAGGGUUGACCCUCCAGGAAGUUUCCCAAGUAAGGCCGGAGCCGUGGAACCCGGUCUGAAUUCGGGAGGCCCACCUCCUAAGGCUAAGUACUCCUUGGUGACCGAUAGUGCAAAAGUAGCGUGAGUGAAAGAUGAAAAGAACCCCUUUGAGGGGAGUUAACGAACCUGAAACCAUGUACCUACAAGCGGUCGGAGGACUAUGCCGGGGAUCAGAUCCUAGAAACUAGACCGGUAUUGGAGAGCGAAAGCGGUCAAAGACAGCGGAAGAUAUCUCAGUGAGAAUCCCGGCCUGUCUGGCGAGUACUUCUCUGAGAGAUCUAGUUUCUAGUGUCUGGUCUCCGGAAGGUCUGACGGCGUGCCUUUUGCUUAAUGAACCGGCGAGUUGCUGUGUGCUGCAAGGUUAAGCCCUUCAGGGGCGUAGCCCCAGCGAAAGCGAGUGUGAAAUGCGCGACAAGGUAGCACGCAGCAGACCCGAAACCAGGUGAUCUACGCAUGGCCAGGUUGAAACGCUCGUAAAAGGGCGUGGAGGACCGAACCCGUUUACGUUGAAAAGUGAUGGGAUGAGCUGUGCGGAGGAGUAAAAGUCUAAUCAAACCUGGAGACAGCUGGUUCUCCCCGAAAUAGCUUUAGGGCUAGCCUCGUGUUACUCUGUCGUGGGGGUAGAGCCACUGAAUGAAUAGAGGGAGCCUCCAGCUUACCUCGUUCAAUCAAACUCCGAAUACCACGACAACUAUCACGGGAGUCAGACCGUGAGGGACAAGCUUCACGGUCAAGAGGGAAACAGCCCAGACCGCCAGCUAAGGUCCCCAAUAUCCGCUCAGUGGUAAAGGAAGUGAUGACGCGGAGACAGCCAGGAUGUUGGCUUAGAAGCAGCCACCAUUUAAAAAGUGCGUAACAGCUUACUGGUCGAGCGUUGUCGCGCCGAAAAUGAUCGGGGCUAAGCGGAUUACCGAAGCUGCGGGUUCUAGAGACUAGAAACUAGAGACUAGAAACCAGAGAAGGAACAGACGAUGCCUUAUCACAGGCUCAACGUCUACAGGAAGGCCUAUCAGCUUGCACUCGACAUUCACAAGCUGACACUUCGUUUUCCGAGAAUCGAGCAGUACGCUCUUGCUCAGCAACUGAGAGCGUGCUCGAAGUCCAUCCCGGUGAACAUCGCUGAAGGCAUGGGCAAGCAAAGCUCACCCAAAGAGGUGGUGCGUUUUGUGCGCAUCGCGCUUGGGUCUUGUGAUGAGACACGGGUUUGGCUGGAUUUCGCACACGACCUCGGAUACAUCGAGGAACAGGCACACACCCAUCUCGACGAGCGAUAUCGCGAGAUAGGUCGUAUGCUCACCGGACUCGUGAAGAAGUGGAAAGACGAAUCCUGAAGAUGUCCGUUGUGCCUCCUCUUUUGUUUCUUCUCUCCAGUCAGUCCCGACGAAGUCGGGACGAUCUAGUUUCUAGUUUCUAGUCUUUAGAACGGUAGGGGAGCGUUGUAUGUUGGGCGAAGGGAGACGGUGACGACUCCUGGACGACAUACAAGAGCUAAUGCCGGUACGAGUAACGAUAAAACAGGUGAGAAUCCUGUUGGCCGAAAGCCUAAGGUUUCCUGGGGAAGGGAAAUCCGCCCAGGGUUAGUCGGAUCCUUAGUCGAGGCCGAAAGGCGUAGACGAUGGACAACCGGUUAAUAUUCCGGUACCACCUAAGAAACGUUUGUACGAUGGGGUGACGCGGUCGUAACGACCUACGGACGGUUAGAAAUGUCCGGUCAAGUCGGCGAGGGCGUCCCAGGCAAAUCCGGGACAACAAGCCCUCCAAGACGAUGACGAGCCUUUUCUGGCGAAGUGGUCCAAGCGACCGCCGGGAAAACCCUCUAAGGAGUUUCUUCGGUGUCCGUACUAAAACUGACACAGGUAGGCGGGGUGAGAAUCCCAAGGCCCUCGAGUGAGAGCUCGUUAAGGAACUCGGCAAAUUGACCCCGUAACUUCGGGAUAAGGGGUGCCUCGCUCGACUUCACCGUCGGGUGGGGCCGCAGAGAAAUGGCCCAGGCGACUGUUUACCAAAAACACAGGUCUGCGCAAACUCGUAAGAGGAGGUAUGCAGACUGACGCCUGCCCGGUGCCGGAAGGUUAAGGGGAAGGGUCAUCCCCGACUUGUCGGGGAGAAGCUCAUAACCUAAGCCCCGGUAAACGGCGGCCUUAACUAUGAAGGUCCUAUGGUAGCGAAGUUCCUUGUCGGGUAAGUUCCGACCUGCAUGAAUGGCGUAACGACUUGGGCACUGUCUC